This is a long non-coding RNA of Pezoporus flaviventris, 378 nucleotides long. RefSeq lists it as uncharacterized. NCBI's taxonomy places the organism in Eukaryota, Metazoa, Chordata, Aves, Psittaciformes, Psittacidae. The record is from RefSeq and is a predicted model, not a curated record. The transcript is spliced from 3 exons.
GCUGCUUGCACUGUGCAUGAAGAAUUUAACAUAUUCCUGAAGAGUUUAAACCAGAAUAACAAAGGUGGCUGCCUUUCAGUAGCAGGUCAGAUGAUAAUGACAUGACUGUAGAAAUGCCAGUUUAAUCCUCCAGGCCAGGAUGGAUGCCUUUCUCAGCAGGACACCUGGACAGACAGCAUGUCCAGCAUGUAGUUGUACUGUUACAGCUGAAAGCUUCUUGAAUAGUGAUGCUCCACCAAAUCUGAAGUGACAUUACUGAUGUAAUUUAUGGCAGAGACACAGAGCUUCUGGAGGAGGAAGCUCUGGAGUUUCAGGGGACUACUGACCCAUAAAGCUCUCUCCUGGGUUACUACGCCUGGAGGAGUUUAGCAAGGAUGU